Molecule: transfer RNA, 74 nt
Filed under: Porticoccus sp.
Lineage: Bacteria; Pseudomonadati; Pseudomonadota; Gammaproteobacteria; Cellvibrionales; Porticoccaceae
Description: tRNA-Cys
Rfam family: tRNA
About the family: Transfer RNA (tRNA) molecules are approximately 80 nucleotides in length. Their secondary structure includes four short double-helical elements and three loops (D, anti-codon, and T loops).
Source: RNAcentral
GGUCAGGUUGCCGAGAGGCUAGGCACGGGUCUGCAAAGCCCAUUACAUCGGUUCGAAUCCGAUCCUGAUCUCAA